UGAGGAAUAUUGGUCAAUGGGCGCGAGCCUGAACCAGCCAAGUCGCGUGAGGGAAGACGGCCCUACGGGUUGUAAACCUCUUUUGCCGGGGAGCAACGGGCGCCACGUGUGGCGUCACUGAGAGUACCCGGAGAAAAAGCAUCGGCUAACUCCGUGCCAGCAGCCGCGGUAAUACGGAGGAUGCGAGCGUUAUCCGGAUUUAUUGGGUUUAAAGGGUGCGUAGGCGGAGCGUUAAGUCAGUGGUCAAAUUGAGGGGCUCAACCCCUUCCCGCCAUUGAAACUGGCGCUCUUGAGUGGAAGAGAAGUAUGCGGAAUGCGUGGUGUAGCGGUGAAAUGCAUAGAUAUCACGCAGAACCCCGAUUGCGAAGGCAGCAUGCCGGCUUCCUACUGACGCUGAAGC
Molecule: ribosomal RNA, 400 nt
Filed under: uncultured bacterium
Lineage: Bacteria
Description: bacterial SSU rRNA
Rfam family: Bacterial small subunit ribosomal RNA
Source: RNAcentral